GCUGUCGCGAAAUCAGAUUGUCGAAUGACACUAAAGUACUGUAGCCUACUCCGGUUUACUUUUGUGUAUUAUAUUAUAGUCUACACAUCCAAGAGUCACUCUCAUUGAACAAAGACUCAAACGGCUAGUUGAAUCCAAGAAAAUGGUGGCUGUAUCGGUGAUUGCCAUGGCAGUUGGAACUGGCGGUCCGGCAAGAACCAGGCAGAUGUGUUCAUAUCCAGAGUUUUACCACCACCCAUAGUAUUAACACACAGACACACUCUUCAGUUAUUUAGAAAUAUACUUUUUCUAAACGGAAUAACUAACUUUUGAGGUAUGACAUGCUGUAUGUGAACCUAACAGUUGGAUAUUAAAUAUUACCCAUCUAAGAGAGAAGUUGUUGGGCUCAUCCUUAUAUCCAUGCCUUCCAGUACUAUUAGUAACUAAGCAUCGUUUAGCAGCACAAAACCCCCAACAGUAGGCCCAACUCUUCCUGCCAUCCAGGACCUCUAUACCAGGCGGUGUCAGAGGAAGGCCCUCAAAAUUGUCAAAGACUCCAGCCA
Coregonus clupeaformis (lake whitefish) is the source of this 542-nucleotide long non-coding RNA. RefSeq lists it as uncharacterized. The transcript has 4 exons. Lineage: Eukaryota; Metazoa; Chordata; Actinopteri; Salmoniformes; Salmonidae. The record is from RefSeq and is a predicted model, not a curated record.